GCCUAGCUGGCUCAGUGGGAAGAGCAUGAGACUCUUGAUCUCAGGGUCUUGAGUUCAAGCUCCACACUGAGUG
RNAcentral lists this transfer RNA (73 nucleotides) under Canis lupus familiaris (dog). It matches the Rfam family "tRNA". Rfam says of the family: Transfer RNA (tRNA) molecules are approximately 80 nucleotides in length. Their secondary structure includes four short double-helical elements and three loops (D, anti-codon, and T loops). Further hydrogen bonds mediate the characteristic L-shaped molecular structure. tRNAs have two regions of fundamental functional importance: the anti-codon, which is responsible for specific mRNA codon recognition, and the 3' end, to which the tRNAs corresponding amino acid is attached (by aminoacyl-tRNA synthetases). tRNAs cope with the degeneracy of the genetic code in two manners: having more than one tRNA (with a specific anti-codon) for a particular amino acid; and 'wobble' base-pairing, i.e. permitting non-standard base-pairing at the 3rd anti-codon position. RNAcentral also lists the same sequence under 1 other name. Lineage: Eukaryota; Metazoa; Chordata; Mammalia; Carnivora; Canidae. The record is from Rfam by way of RNAcentral.